CAAGUCGAACGCGAAAGCCCCCCUCGGGGGGCAAGUAGAGUGGCGCACGGGUGAGUAACACGUAGGUAAUCUACCUUUGGAUGGGGAAUAACAACCGGAAACGGUUGCUAAUACCGCAUAAUGCAGCGGCACCUAAUGGUGACAGUUGUUAAAGCGGGGGAUCGCAAGACCUCGCGUCUGAAGAGGAGCCUGCGGCGGAUUAGCUAGUUGGUAAGGUAACGGCUUACCAAGGCUAUGAUCCGUAGCCGGCCUGAGAGGGCGGUCGGCCACACUGACACUGACAUACGGGUCAGACUCCUACGGGAGGCAGCAGUCGGGAAUUUUGGGCUAUGGGCGCAAGCCUGACCCAGCAACGCCGCGUGAAGGAUGAAAUCCUUCGGGAUGUAAACUUCGCAAGAACAGGAAGAAUAAGUAAGGGUUAAUAUCUCUUACGAUGACGGUACUGUUUGUAAGCUCCGGCUAACUCCGUGCCAGCAGCCGCGGUAAUACGGGGGGAGCAAGCGUUGUUCGGGUUUACUGGGCGUAAAGGGCGCGUAGGCGGCCACCGCAAGUCGACUGUGAAAUCUCCGGGCUUAACCCGGAAAGGUCAGCCGAUACUGCGGGGCUAGAGUGCAGAAGGGGCAACUGGAAUUCUCGGUGUAGCGGUGAAAUGCGUAGAUAUCGAGAGGAACACCUGCGGCGAAGGCGGGUUGCUGGGCUGACACUGACGCCGAAGUGCGAAAGCUAGGGGAGCGAACGGGAUUAGAUACCCCGGUAGUCCUAGCCUUAAACGAUGAAUGCUUGGUGUCUGGGGUUUUAUAGUCCCCGGGUGCCGUCGCUAACGCUUUAAGCAUUCCGCCUGGGGAGUACGGUCGCAAGACUGAAACUCAAAGGAAUUGACGGGGACCCGCACAAGCGGUGGAGCAUGUGGUUU
RNAcentral lists this ribosomal RNA (913 nucleotides) under uncultured Bacillota bacterium. Its description in RNAcentral is "bacterial SSU rRNA". It matches the Rfam family "Bacterial small subunit ribosomal RNA", at positions 58 to 947 of the family's 1533-position model. Lineage: Bacteria; Bacillati; Bacillota. The record is from RNAcentral.